Long non-coding RNA from Dreissena polymorpha, 713 nucleotides. RefSeq lists it as uncharacterized. The transcript has 3 exons. The record is from RefSeq and is a predicted model, not a curated record. Lineage: Eukaryota; Metazoa; Mollusca; Bivalvia; Myida; Dreissenidae.
ACGUGUGCAUGCUUAUAAAUAUGUUAAUACAGUAACAUAAUCAAACAACGAAAGGACGGACGGACGGACACAAUCGCAAACCAGACAUUUGGACCAUACAAAAAAGUAUAAACUGUUCACGGAAAACAUAUUUAUCUUUUUCUAGAAUAUUCGUCGGUUAUUUCGUACAUAAGGUGGAACAACGUUACUGCAAUCGUUCUCUUCACAUUGAUAGGAUAUGCUGUAUGCUGCUGCUAUGGAUUGCUUAAAAUGCACUGGAGUAUAGCUGUUUUAUUUACAGAGGCAGUACAGUUUUUGAACUACGUGCUUAUAUUCACCUUGGUUGGACCAGCGAAUGGAUUUACGGCAGCCAACACAACUACCUCUUUCCGUGUUUUCGCAUCUAUUUCCGGACUCGUGAUUGUUGUUUGCAUGCCAUUAGUGACUGUCGCAGCCGUAAAAUAUUGCCGAUCCCGGGGUUCAAAACGCAUAGCAAUAUUGAAAGCACCACUGACGUCACAACGCAUAGCCAAAUCGGAACAAACACCAACAUCACUGAUUCGUGUAAAUUAUAUGAAAGCAGUGAGGAAAGAGAAUACACGCGGUACAACGAUAAUACCUUUUCAGAUAGUGAAACUUUAUAGACCAAAUACAACAGAUUUACGAGAAGAAUUUUCACACGUACUGCAACAAUUGUGGCAAAAACAUGCACAAUUUAUCGGUAUAGGCAAAGA